GCAGUGAGCCGGGUAACCGCUGCCAUCAGUAACCUUGCCGCGAGGUGAGAAGUGCUGGCGGGAGAGGAAAGUCCGAACUCCACAGGGCAGUGCGCCGGGUAAUUCCCGGGCGGGGCGACCCGACGGACAGUGGCACAGAAAAUAUACCGCCCGCCUUCGCGCGCUCACGCGCGCUACGGCGGGGUAAACCCGCGAGGGCUAGCCCCGCCGAAGCUGGAGCGGCCGAAAGGCCGCGAGAGCGAAGGCGGGUAAGGGUGAAAUGGUGGGGUAAGAGCCCACCGCGCGCGUGGUAACAAGCGUGGCAGGCCAAACCCCGCACGGAGCAAGACCAAAUAGGGAGACGCGGCCCCCCGGCGCAAGCCGGGGAUCGCCACAGGCGGCCCGCCUGAGGUCUCCGGGUAGGUAGCUCGACCCCGCCA
Molecule: RNase P RNA, 419 nt
Filed under: Acidobacteriota bacterium
Lineage: Bacteria; Pseudomonadati; Acidobacteriota
Description: partial RNase P RNA component class A
Rfam family: Bacterial RNase P class A
About the family: Ribonuclease P (RNase P) is a ubiquitous endoribonuclease, found in archaea, bacteria and eukarya as well as chloroplasts and mitochondria. Its best characterised activity is the generation of mature 5'-ends of tRNAs by cleaving the 5'-leader elements of precursor-tRNAs. Cellular RNase Ps are ribonucleoproteins.
Source: RNAcentral